UAAGGAAAACUGCUUAAUAGAGAUCAUUCACAAUAAAAAUCACAGUGUAUUUAAAUUAAUUAUAUAAAAACAAUAAUAGCCCUUUAUAUUCAAAU
Sapajus apella (tufted capuchin) is the source of this 95-nucleotide long non-coding RNA. RefSeq lists it as uncharacterized. The transcript has 3 exons. NCBI's taxonomy places the organism in Eukaryota, Metazoa, Chordata, Mammalia, Primates, Cebidae. The record is from RefSeq and is a predicted model, not a curated record.